AUACGGAGGGUGCAAGCGUUACUCGGAAUCACUGGGCGUAAAGCGCGCGCAGGCGGGCUGAUGAGUUGGAUGUGAAAGCCUACGGCUCAACCGUAGAACUGCAUCCAAAACUAUUAGACUAGAGUGUGGGAGAGGAAGAUGGAAUUAGUUGUGUAGGGGUAAAAUCCGUAGAGAUAACUAGGAAUACCAAAAGCGAAGGCAAUCUUCUGGAACACUACUGACGCUGAGGCGCGAAAGCGUGGGGAGCAAACAGGAUUAGAAACCCUAGUAGUCC
Molecule: ribosomal RNA, 274 nt
Filed under: uncultured bacterium
Lineage: Bacteria
Description: partial 16S ribosomal RNA
Rfam family: Bacterial small subunit ribosomal RNA
Source: RNAcentral